This 844-nucleotide ribosomal RNA is filed under the name uncultured bacterium. RNAcentral's name for it is "bacterial SSU rRNA". It matches the Rfam family "Bacterial small subunit ribosomal RNA", at positions 17 to 906 of the family's 1533-position model. The record is from RNAcentral.
UUCUGGCUCAGAGCGAACGCUGGCGGCAGGCCUAACACAUGCAAGUCGAGCGGCCGUAGCAAUACGGCAGCGGCAGACGGGAGAGUAACACGUGGGAACGCACCCUUCGGUUCGGGAUAACCCAGGGAAACUUGGGCUAAUACCGGAUACGCCCUUACGGGGAAAGAUUUAUUGCCGAAGGAACGGCCCGCGUCCGAUUAGCUAGUUGGUGAGGUAACGGCUCACCAAGGCGACGAUCGGUAGCUGGUCUGAGAGGAUGACCAGCCUCACUGGGACUGAGACACGGCCCAGACUCCUACGGGAGGCAGCAGUGGGGAAUAUUGGACAAUGGGCGCAAGCCUGAUCCAGCCAUGCCGCGUGGGUGAUGAAGGCCCUAGGGUUGUAAAGCCCUUUCAGUGGGGAAGAUAAUGACGGUACCCGCAGAAGAAGCCCCGGCUAACUUCGUGCCAGCAGCCGCGGUAAUACGAAGGGGGCUAGCGUUGCUCGGAAUUACUGGGCGUAAAGCGCACGUAGGCGGCUUUCUAAGUCGGGGGUGAAAUCCUGGAGCUCAACUCCAGAACUGCCUUCGAUACUGGAAAGCUCGAGUCCGGGAGAGGUGAGUGGAACUGCGAGUGUAGAGGUGAAAUUCGUAGAUAUUCGCAAGAACACCAGUGGCGAAGGCGGCUCACUGGCCCGGUACUGACGCUGAGGUGCGAAAGCGUGGGGAGCAAACAGGAUUAGAUACCCCGGUAGUCCACGCCGUAAACGAUGGAUGCUAGCCGUUGGCGAGCUUGCUCGUCAGUGGCGCAGCUAACGCUUUAAGCAUCCCGCCUGGGGAGUACGGUCGCAAGAUUAAAACUCAAAG